CACUGUCACCCAGACUGGAGGGCAGUGGCGCAUCACAGCUCACUGUAGCCUUGACCUCUUGAGCUCCAGAGACGCUCCCACCUCACCCAGGAGGACGUCAGUCCUCCAGGCAGACAUCAGGCCCCAGAUGGACCCUGGACUCAAAGUGUACACCAGGCCCCAAGUUGACAACCAGGCCCCAGAUGAACAACGAGGUCCUAGUUGGACAGCAGGCCCAUGUUGAACACCACACUCGUGGACAUUUGGCCGCAGGCAGACACCACGCCUUAGGUAGAUACGUAGGCCCCAGGUGGGCAUUAGACCACAAGGUGAACAACAAGACCCAGUAGGCCAUCAGGCCACAGCUGGAUACAGUCACCAGGAGAACACAAGGCCCCAAGAGGGACAUACGCCCAAGGCAGACAUCAGGCCCUAGGUGGACAUCAGACCUGAGGAGGACAACCGGCCCCCGGUGAACAUCAGGCACAGGUGUCCAAGCAGGCCCUGGGUGGACAUAAUAGUGUCUAGCUCUUACUCCAUAUGCAGAAAUAGGAGCACUUCCAGCACCAGCUGUUGAGCCAGAACCAGCAUGGGAAGAGCCCCCUCCAGAGACAGCGCUGGAGGUGGAGGGAGCUCCAGCCCAGGACGAGCCCAAGGAGGAGCUGCCUGAAAUCACGGCACCUGCUGUAGCCACUGGCCUUAGCCCUGAAGUUGAACAUGUGGCAAGAGAGAGAGGCGGCAGGGAGGGGGUGACCAGCACGGCCCCAGCCAGCAGCUCCUAUGCUGCCCGUAGUCCUGGGCACGGUGGCAAACAUGGAGGCGGAGAGCCUGGGUUUGGAGAGAGGCUUCUGUCAUUCAUUAGAGCCGCAGUUCUGCUGCUGCAGGGCCUGUUUACUCUCCUGCUGCUGGUGGGGUCUAUCUGGGUGCAGGAGGUGCUGGAGAGCAUGAAGAGGAGGCUGGGAGGAAGAAUUCCAGCAGCUCCUCCUGCACUCAGAGGCGGCCUCCUCCUCCAGGCACGGAUGUCUGUCUGUAACUGGGCAUCCAGGCUGUUUGCCCCUGAAGUGCUGCCCAGGAUGGGCUCUUAAAAGGCCGGCAGGGGGUGAGGGGACCAGGAGGCAGCUCCAAAGGGUACAGCAAGCAAAGCUUUUAAAGACAGUCCUUGUGCCCCAGGAUCUCCGUGCCACCACCUGCCCUAGCAUUUAUUAAUACUAUUAGAAUUAUAAGUUGAUGGAACUACAUUUCAAUAAAGUUUGAUUU
Molecule: non-coding RNA, 1236 nt
Organism: Chlorocebus sabaeus (green monkey)
Lineage: Eukaryota; Metazoa; Chordata; Mammalia; Primates; Cercopithecidae
Source: RefSeq, a predicted model, not a curated record